Molecule: ribosomal RNA, 417 nt
Filed under: uncultured bacterium
Lineage: Bacteria
Description: partial 16S ribosomal RNA
Rfam family: Bacterial small subunit ribosomal RNA
Source: RNAcentral
AAUAUUGGUCAAUGGAGGCAACUCUGAACCAGCCAAGCCGCGUGAAGGAUGACUGCACUAUGGCUUGUAAACUUCUUCUUUAAGGGAGUAAAUUUAGCUACGUGUAGCUAAUUUUAUGUACUUUACUAAUAAGUAUCGGCUAACUCCGUGCCAGCAGCCGCGGUAGUACGGAGGAUCCGAGCGUUAUCCGGAUUUAUUGGGUUUAAAGGGUGCGCAGGAGGGGGAUUAAGUCGGCGGUGAAAGUUUGCAGCUUAACUGUAAAAUUGCCGUUGAUACUGGUUAUCUUGAGUGUAUAUGAAGUAGGCGGAAUUUGUGGUGUAGCGGUGAAAUGCAUAGAUAUAACAAGGAACUCCAAUUGCGAAGGCAGCUUACUAAAAUACAACUGACGCUCAGGCACGAAGGCGUGGGUAUCAAACA